Molecule: ribosomal RNA, 485 nt
Filed under: uncultured Desulfobulbus sp.
Lineage: Bacteria; Pseudomonadati; Thermodesulfobacteriota; Desulfobulbia; Desulfobulbales; Desulfobulbaceae
Description: bacterial SSU rRNA
Rfam family: Bacterial small subunit ribosomal RNA
Source: RNAcentral
UCAAAGGAAUUGACGGGGCCCGCACAAGCGGUGGAGUAUGUGGUUAAUUCGAUGCAACGCGAAGAACCUUACCUGGUCUUGACAUCCCGGAGACCCUUAGGAAACUAGGGGGUGCUUCCAUCUGGAAGAAUCUGGAGACAGGUGCUGCAUGGCUGUCGUCAGCUCGUGUCGUGAGAUGUUGGGUUAAGUCCCGCAACGAGCGCAACCCUUGCCUUUAGUUGCCAGCAGUUCGGCUGGGCACUCUAAAGGGACUGCCGGUGUUAAACCGGAGGAAGGUGGGGAUGACGUCAAGUCCUCAUGGCCUUUAUGACCAGGGCUACACACGUACUACAAUGGCCGAUACAAAGGGCAGCGACACUGCGAGGUGAAGCCAAUCCCGUAAAAUCGGUCUCAGUCCGGAUUGGAGUCUGCAACUCGACUCCAUGAAGUUGGAAUCGCUAGUAAUCGUGGAUCAGCAUGCCACGGUGAAUACGUUCCCGGGCCUU